RNAcentral lists this transfer RNA (66 nucleotides) under Staphylinidae sp. BMNH 1274658. RNAcentral describes it as "tRNA-Phe". The record is from RNAcentral. Lineage: Eukaryota; Metazoa; Arthropoda; Insecta; Coleoptera; Staphylinidae.
AUUUAAAUAGCUUAAAUUUAGAGCAUAAUAUUGAAGAUAUUAAGGUAAUAUGAUUAUUUUUAAAUA